AUGGGGAUCGUGCCACUCCAAAUGGCAUCUGCGUUGGAAAUUCUCUCGCAACUAGUGCUCUCUUUUCCAACGACAUAAGCGGAACUGUGCUUCGUCGUGUUGCCAGGAUGAUGGCCGAAGAGCUUCACGUGCUGCAGCAUCAGGAGCGAUUGGCCAAGGGCUCGGUUCGUGAUGUGGCUACGCAGACAACAGAACGCGGCAUGCGUUCCGUUCCAUGACGAGACUCUAUACACGAGGAGUAAGAAGACAUAAAGAAACAACGAAGAGAAAUAACGGCGCUCUUAUCGAGUGCCCGACUAGCCUCGACGACCUUGACGUCGUCACAU
Molecule: long non-coding RNA, 326 nt
Organism: Rhipicephalus microplus (southern cattle tick)
Lineage: Eukaryota; Metazoa; Arthropoda; Arachnida; Ixodida; Ixodidae
Source: RefSeq, a predicted model, not a curated record